This 293-nucleotide ribosomal RNA is filed under the name uncultured bacterium. RNAcentral's name for it is "partial 16S ribosomal RNA". It matches the Rfam family "Archaeal small subunit ribosomal RNA", at positions 455 to 747 of the family's 1478-position model. The record is from RNAcentral.
GUGCCAGCUUCCGCGGUAAUACCGGCAGCCCGAGUGAUGGCCGAUCUUAUUGGGCCUAAAGCGUCCGUAGCCGGCCGGACAAGUCCGUUGGGAAAUCGACGCGCCUAACGCGUCGGCGUCCAGCGGAAACUGUCCGGCUUGGGGCCGGAAGAUCCGAGGGGUACGUCCGGGGUAGGAGUGAAAUCCCGUAAUCCUGGACGGACCGCCGGUGGCGAAAGCGCCUCGGAAGGACGGACCCGACGGUGAGGGACGAAAGCCAGGGUCUCCAACCGGAUUAGAUACCCCGGUAGUCC